AUGCACGCUAGCUACAGGCUUCACCCAUGCAAGUCGAGGGGAAACGACAUCGAAAGCUUGCUUUUGAUGGGCGUCGACCGGCGCACGGGUGAGUAACGCGUAUCCAACCUGCCCAUCACUUGGGGAUAACCUUGCGAAAGUAAGACUAAUACCCAAUGAUAUCUCUAGAAGACAUCUGAAAGAGAUUAAAGAUUUAUCGGUGAUGGAUGGGGAUGCGUCUGAUUAGCUUGUUGGCGGGGUAACGGCCCACCAAGGCAACGAUCAGUAGGGGUUCUGAGAGGAAGGUCCCCCACAUUGGAACUGAGACACAGUCCAAACUCCUACGGGAGGCAGCAGUGAGGAAUAUUGGUCAAUGGGCGAGAGCCUGAACCAGCCAAGUAGCGUGCAGGAAGACGGCCCUAUGGGUUGUAAACUGCUUUUAUAAGGGAAUAAAGUGAGAGUCGUGACUCUUUUUGUAUGUACCUUAUGAAUAAGGACCGGCUAAUUCCGUG
Molecule: ribosomal RNA, 491 nt
Filed under: uncultured bacterium
Lineage: Bacteria
Description: partial 16S ribosomal RNA
Rfam family: Bacterial small subunit ribosomal RNA
Source: RNAcentral